Molecule: long non-coding RNA, 2185 nt
Organism: Saccostrea cuccullata (small rock oyster)
Lineage: Eukaryota; Metazoa; Mollusca; Bivalvia; Ostreida; Ostreidae
Exons: 2
Source: RefSeq, a predicted model, not a curated record
UGUAUAUUACUAAAGUGCGAUUUAUUUAAUAUGUACAAUAUAAGACAAUAUAUAACGUUUUGCUAUGAUUUUAUAUGUCAGGAAAUGUAUGGGUGCAUAUUUUUGAACUCCCCUUUCUGUGACCCCAUUUCAACAAGUUGGAAUUCCCCCUUGUGUUCUUUAACAAUGUAAAUGAGUUGUGUGCACUUAGGACAAUUAUACAAUCAUAUGAAGUAGUAAGAAGACAACAUUGCUGGACUACACGCUAAUAAAUAUUACUGCACAUCGGAGCGUUAGUGUUUGUAUCCAUUGUUUACAUCCAGAUCUAUUUUUAGGAUACAUAAUAAAAUGAUCGGCGGGUCAAUGGAAAUUUACCCACAAAGUCAAGCUGCAAACAUGUAAAGGAACGUUAACGUUAGAAGGAAUGUGCUGGUGAAGUGACAUUUCUACUGAAAGUCUAGCUAAGAUCGACAUACAGUGGUGAAUUUAAUUGAAAACUGCAGAAAAUAUAUAAAGACAUUUUGAUUCCAGAACUGCCGAGGAUAAAUUUCUCCAAAACAAUGCAAGCCAUGUGAUUCAGAGAAGGUUAUUGCAUAGAAAUAUUUAUAAUUUUGGGAUCCAGACUUGGUAUUAAGAAAUCCAAUAUCAUCUAUACCCACCUCGGAUCUCGCCACCGAGAGAUGGAAUCAGUAGGCUUGAUUUUACUGAUUCCAUUCUGUGUUUGUUUUCUGUUAUUAUUCAUAGUGUGUUGUUUUGCGGACGAAAUCAAGAAAAUGUGUCGUAUGCCAAGCCAACUUCCGCAACAUUAUAUUCCAAGUGAUCGCGCCGAAGCCGAUCGAGAACGCCGUAGGCGUGAAAGACGGCGCCAGCGCCAAAUUCGAGCAGGUGUUCAUGGACAAAGGCCGUCAGAAUCGUCGGACAUCGAGUCAUUAAUGGGUUCACGCAGUCGCAAUUCAUCGGGUAGUUCAGGGUACAGUUCAGAAGUCAGUCCAUUCCUCGUUUUAGCGGUAGUUACGUCAGAGGUGCAGCCAAAUGGGGAAGUGGUUACGUCACACGUGGACGCACAGAGUUUGUUGCAGUCGGAGGCAUCAAAUGGACAAGGGCUUAGUGCAUCACAGACAAUCAACUACAGUAUAGAAGACAAAGAGAAAGUAUAGCAUACCACGAGUGUUCACUUUCAUCAUGGAUUGUAAUUUUAUAUAUCUGUUGUUACGCUUACUUUUGUGAUAUAAAAUAUCAGAACGAGGUACGUUUUUCGUGACUUGCCUGUGAACGCAAAUUCCAUUAUGUUUUAAUUUCUACAUGCUCAAAACGUUAUGUAUCGAACAAAUAAUUUUAAAAACACGUGUUCCUUUUUACCCAUGGUACUAAAUUGGUGUUAAUUAAAUAACGUGGAAUUACAAAUUGAAUCGUCGCAUAUUAUAAAAGCCUAACCAAUCUUAGGACAGGUGAGCGAUCUCAUCCUCGGGCACCAUUCUCUCCUGUUAGAUUCCAUUGACUAAUAGAACCCGUAAACUGUCAUCACAUAUUCCUUAGUUCCAACUUUCAAAAGCCAUUGAUACAUACGUACUUAUAUUCUUUAGAUUGUCCUUAUGCAGUAAAAACCCCGUCUCAUUUCAGACGUUACAUGAAUACUAUUUCUCGUACACAUUCUAUGAGGUACUAGUCAUAUCGCAAUAUUUCACUUAUGCUGUUUGAAAAAUUUGUUGUUAGAAAUUUCAGUCAAGAAUUUAGGCAUAAUACACGUGUUGAGCAUUUUGAACCAAUUUUAGUCAAGAAAUUUAGGCAUAAUACACGUGUUGAGCAUUUGGAACCUACCGCGUGUUCAGUGACACAUCUGGAUGUUUUUUUUUUUUUCAUAUUUACAAUCAGCAGAAGGGUAUUUAAUGAGAUUAAUCAUUUUAACAGCCAAUUUAAGUUUCUCUGUACUUUUAUUUUAUUUUCAAGAAUCUCAGUUUUUAUGCAGAUUUAAAUGUUUGUCUCCUUCAUUUGUAUUUUUGUUUAUGCCAUACAAUUCAAUAUUUUGAGAACAAUAUACAUAUUGGAACGUUUUACCACCAUGCAUAUAAUUUUAAUUAUUUGUACAAUCAAAACGCAUUUAAAAAUUUAAAUUAUAAAUAUGAGUCUUUGCAUGAUGUAUGAACAAUCAAAGUUGAUGUUGAUUUGUUUCCCGGUAAAAGCACAAUAAAUGCAACCGUUACAGGUA